Molecule: long non-coding RNA, 699 nt
Organism: Humulus lupulus (European hop)
Lineage: Eukaryota; Viridiplantae; Streptophyta; Magnoliopsida; Rosales; Cannabaceae
Exons: 3
Source: RefSeq, a predicted model, not a curated record
CUCAUUUGCAUGGUGGUUGGCCGAGACAUCUAGAGAGAGAGAGACAGAGAGAAGGAGAAGACAAAGAAGAGGAGGCCAAGGUUUGUGGUCCUAAGGUUUGAAUUUCACAAGAGCAUAGUGAAGGUAUUGGGCAAGGGUUCAGCCUACAACGGUGUUGGAGAUUAGAAAUCAGAAGGGAGAGGAUAUUAGGUUUCAAAUUUUGGUGUACUCAAGGUGAGGAAGGACCUUGUAUUGGUGUUGUUUUGAUCUUGGGGUCUCACAUAUGCAAAUUGUUGUAUUAGAUUUGUUAUGGUUCUUAUAUGUGAUGAGUGGUUUUUUUUUUUUUUGGUUUGUGUUCUCUUUAUGUCUAGAUAAUGCAUGUGGAGUUUCUUUUUAUUUUAAUUGAUUUUCUAUCAACUUGUUUAUGUUUUUAAUACUAGAAGCAUGUUAGGGUUUCAUGACAUCUUUAUGAGUUAUGAUUUGAUUUUUUUUUUAAGAUUAAUAUUGGGUUAUUGUUGUUUCAAUAAAUCUUGAUGUCUUGAUAAUAAAAAUACAAAGUGGACAUUAGAAGCAUGCUAAUAGGGCUUCGACCUAGGGUAUCUUAAAGGGUUGUGAGAUUGUAUUUUGGUUUCUUUAUUCUAUUUUUAAAACCAUUGAUUAUGACCUUGUUAAAUUUGUAAUAUCUUUCAUGUAUUAUGCUAUAUAGAAUUCAUCCUUGGG